CCUACGGGGUGCAGCAGUGAGGAAUAUUGGUCAAUGGGCGGAAGCCUGAACCAGCCAAGUAGCGUGCGGGAUGAAGGCCCUACGGGUCGUAAACCGCUUUUGCACGGGGAUAACACCCUCCACUUGUGGAGGUCUGCAGGUACCGUGCGAAUAAGGGCCGGCUAAUUCCGUGCCAGCAGCCGCGGUAAUACGGAAGGCCCGAGCGUUAUCCGGUUUUAUUGGGUUUAAAGGGUGCGUAGGGGGAAUGCCAAGUCAGCGGUAAAAUCGCGGGGCUCAACCUCGCUCCGCCGUUGAAACUGGCGUUCUUGAGUGGGCGAGAAGUAUGCGGAAUGCGUGGUGUAGCGGUGAAAUGCAUAGAUAUCACGCAGAACUCCGAUUGCGAAGGCAGCAUACCGGCGCCCAACUGACGCUGAAGCACGAAAGCGUGGGUAUCGAACAGGAUUAGAUACCCGAGUAGUC
RNAcentral lists this ribosomal RNA (459 nucleotides) under uncultured bacterium. Its description in RNAcentral is "partial 16S ribosomal RNA". It matches the Rfam family "Bacterial small subunit ribosomal RNA", at positions 338 to 795 of the family's 1533-position model. The record is from RNAcentral.